GACGAACGCUGGCGGCGUGCUUAACACAUGCAAGUCGAACGGAAAGGCCCUGCUUUUGUGGGGUGCUCGAGUGGCGAACGGGUGAGUAACACGUGAGUAACCUGCCCUUGACUUUGGGAUAACUUCAGGAAACUGGGGCUAAUACCGGAUAGGAGCUCCUGCUGCAUGGUGGGGGUUGGAAAGUUUCGGCGGUUGGGGAUGGACUCGCGGCUUAUCAGCUUGUUGGUGGGGUAGUGGCUUACCAAGGCUUUGACGGGUAGCCGGCCUGAGAGGGUGACCGGCCACAUUGGAACUGAGAUGCGGCCCAGACUCCUCCGGGAGGCAGCGGUGGGGAAUAGUGCACAAUGGGCGGAAGCCUGAUGCAGCAACGCCGCGUGCGGGAUGACGGCCUUCGGGUUGUAAACCGCUUUCGCCUGUGACGAGGCGUGAGUGACGGUAAUGGGUAAAGAAGCACCGGCUAACUACGUG
Molecule: ribosomal RNA, 468 nt
Filed under: uncultured bacterium
Lineage: Bacteria
Description: partial 16S ribosomal RNA
Rfam family: Bacterial small subunit ribosomal RNA
Source: RNAcentral